Sorex fumeus (smoky shrew) is the source of this 102-nucleotide small nuclear RNA. NCBI's taxonomy places the organism in Eukaryota, Metazoa, Chordata, Mammalia, Eulipotyphla, Soricidae. The record is from RefSeq and is a predicted model, not a curated record.
GCCCUUCGGCAGCACAUAUACUAAAAUUGGAACGAUACAGAGAAGAUUAGCAUGGCCCCUGCUCAAGCUAACACUAGAACUCAUUAUCUUACAGUUUCUUUU